CCUUGGAGAAAGGAGGUCUGAUGCCAAGGCCCUGACCAACCCUGUGACUCUUGUUGGCAGGGAGCUUGGCACAGGCUUCUGCUGAGGCAGAAAGCAAAGAGCACUGGCUGCUGCACGCCACUUCAAUCACCUGUGCUGACUCCCGCAGCGACGGCAAGGAAUGUGGACAGUCCCGGGGAAUGUCUAAUCUGCAAUGGCUCAUCGCAGAGCGGAAGCUGAGAGCUGGAAUGUCAACGACCCGAUGGGAAUGAUCUCACUUCCAGGACCCCCCUCCAAGUGGCUGAUGCCAUCUCAGCCCACGAGAUCGUCAGCGGGUGAGGUUGUCAUGGGCAGGUUUGGAGGAUCCUGUCUGAGUUGGGGAGACACCUUCUUCCCACUUUCCAAUGGUGGAGAGCUACACCUCACCCUGCCCUGAACCAUGACUGGGACACUUUAAAAAAAAAAAAGGUAUUUGUUCAGUGCUCACUAUAUGCCAGACACUGUUCUAAGCACUGAGGUAGAUAAAAGCUAAUCAGUUUGGACACAAUUCCUGACCCACAUGGGGCUCACAGUUUUAAUCCCCAUUUUCCAGAUGAGGGAACUGAGGUACAGGGAAGUGAAGUGACUUGGCCAAGGUCACACAGCAGACAAGUGGCAAAGUCAGGAUUAGAACCCAGGCCUUUCUGACUCCCAGCUCCAUGCUCUAUUCCUAGGCCACACUGCUUCACUUCUACUGCUGGUUAAUGUGCAGGAGCAAAGAGGAGACGCAUAAAGGGCAGAGGGUUGGAGGGGCAUAGAAGGAACUCAUUGGCAUUAGCACCCUCCCCCUUCUUCCCCAAUCACCAGUUCUGCUCACCUCAGAACCCAAAUGGUAGUAACUGGGUAGGGAGAGGGCACGAGUGUCAGAGGAAGGGGACACUUACUUAUUUGGGGCAGGAGCUCAGUUGUGCUCCUAUGUGACCUGCUGAGAAGUCUAGAGAAGGUCAAAACCCCUCCUCCACCCCAUCCAGAGCCUACGUGCAAAGAAACACUCCCCUCUCCCCCUCCCUGCCCCAGUGGAAUGUGUGUUGUGCUCUUCUGGCCAUAAAGCUGCCGGAAAGGAGGAGAGACAAGACAGUUCCCUCUCUGGACAGAAGGGAGGGUGUUUCCUGGCUCUGUUUCUCCCAUUGCCACAACCCUGAAACGUUAACUGGAAUUCCACCAUCCAGACUCUCCAGUUAUCACAUAAGUCCUGGAAAGACUGUGUGCAUGGCCCAGCAGUCACCCCCUCUGGCUGAAGGAGCCAAGUGGAGAUCAAACACCUCCUGUCGUGAAAUUCUUCCCAUUCCCACCUGACCCUCUGGACUCUGGAUGAGAGGAGGCAUGGCGGAGGCCUUGGGGUCCCAAGGAACUCUCAC
This 1376-nucleotide long non-coding RNA is filed under the name Ornithorhynchus anatinus (platypus). RNAcentral's name for it is "lncRNA (ENSOANG00000050700.1)". Lineage: Eukaryota; Metazoa; Chordata; Mammalia; Monotremata; Ornithorhynchidae. The record is from RNAcentral.